GAUGAACGCUGGCGGCGUGCCUAAUACAUGCAAGUCGAGCGAACAGAUGAGGAGCUUGCUCCUCUGACGUUAGCAGCGGACGGGUGAGUAACACGUGGAUAACCUACCUAUAAGACUGGGAUAACUUCGGGAAACCGGAGCUAAUACCGGAUAAUAUAUUGAACCGCAUGGUUCAAUAGUGAAAGACGGUUUUGCUGUCACUUAUAGAUGGAUCCGCGCCGCAUUAGCUAGUUGGUAAGGUAACGGCUUACCAAGGCAACGAUGCGUAGCCGACCUGAGAGGGUGAUCGGCCACACUGGAACUGAGACACGGUCCAGACUCCUACGGGAGGCAGCAGUAGGGAAUCUUCCGCAAUGGGCGAAAGCCUGACGGAGCAACGCCGCGUGAGUGAUGAAGGUCUUCGGAUCGUAAAACUCUGUUAUUAGGGAAGAACAAAUGUGUAAGUAACUAUGCACGUCUUGACGGUACCUAAUUAGAAAGCCACGGCUAACUACGUG
This 497-nucleotide ribosomal RNA is filed under the name uncultured bacterium. Its description in RNAcentral is "partial 16S ribosomal RNA". It matches the Rfam family "Bacterial small subunit ribosomal RNA", at positions 28 to 507 of the family's 1533-position model. The record is from RNAcentral.